GCUUUCGUGGUGUAAUUGGAAGCAUAUUCGACCCAUAUUUGAGAGGUACAGGGUUUGAAUCCCGGCGAGGGCA
RNAcentral lists this transfer RNA (73 nucleotides) under Stegodyphus mimosarum. It matches the Rfam family "tRNA". From Rfam's summary of the family: Transfer RNA (tRNA) molecules are approximately 80 nucleotides in length. Lineage: Eukaryota; Metazoa; Arthropoda; Arachnida; Araneae; Eresidae. The record is from Rfam by way of RNAcentral.